GGCCUUGAGGCUGUGUUGUGGAGCUUUUAAAACUACCCCAGUGUUAGCAUUACAGGUAGAAAUAGGAGAAUGUCCUUUAGAAUUAAGAAGGAAGCAGUUGAUGGUAAAUUAUUGGGCAGGUUUACAAGGGCAUAAUGAUUCACAUCCUACUAAGGCAAUGUUACAGGAGAGCUGGGAAUAUGGGAAAAGGCUAAAUGAUAACUUUGGUAGGAUUGGAAAUGACUCAGCUAAAGAAUUGGGAGUUUUUAAUUUGAGGAUAAGUUGCACAGUAGUUUAUCCAGAGACGGCUCCCUGGAAGUUAGUUUGGCCUGAGGUAGAUUGGUAUGUGUUAGACGAAAAAGGGAGGGCAAAGGAAGAUAUAAAUCUAAAAAUGGUCUUCAACAAUCGGAUAGCGGAAAAAUAUAAUGAUUACAUACAGGUUUAUACAGAUGGUGCCAAGGAACCAGAGACGGAAGUAACCGGAUUGAGUGUGGUGGUUCCAAGUAAAGGAAUUGGAAUUAAUAGAAGAACAUCUAAUAUGUUAGGGGUUUAUACAGUGGAAAUGCUGGCAAUAUUAAUCGCUGUACGAUGGGUGGAAAAGACAGGGCAGCAUAACGUUUUGGUUUGUUCAGAUUCAUCAUCAGUUUUAGCAAGUAUAAGGUCAUUUUAUUCAAAAAGUCGGCAAGAUAUACUGUUUGAAGUCCUACAGUCAGUUACAAGAAUAUAUAACCAAGGAAGGCAGAUCAAAUUUUUAUGGGUACCAGGACAUGUAGGGAUAAGGGGAAAUGAAAUGGCAGAUAAAUUAGCUAAAACGGCGUUAACAAAAGGAAACAUAGAAAUGCAAGUAAGUAUCAGUAAAGCAGAGGUUAAAAGUGUGAUAUGGAAGACAAUAAAUCAAAUGUGGCAAGAGAGGUGGGAUAGAGAGGGGAAAGGAAGGCAUUUAUAUCAAAUCCAGAGGGAUGUUAAAUGUUCAGUGAUUGGUAGUGGAAAUCGCAGAGAGGAAACAGUCAUAUCUAGGUUAAGAUUGGGACAUUGUUUAUUAAAUAAAACACUCAAGUUAAUAGGGAAACAUGAUACUGGAUUGUGUGAGGUUUGCCAGGAAGAAGAGUCAGUGGAGCAUGUGGUCUUGAGGUGCAGCAGGUAUGAGGUUCAGAGAGAGUUGAUGAGGAAUAAGUUGAGAGAGAUAGAGGUUCAGGACAUGACAUUAAAAGAGCUGUUGAGCACACAACACAGGGCACAGACUAGAAUUCUUAUGGAUUUCUUAAGGGACACAGGGGUUUUUAAUAGAGUAUGAAGAGUUAUAGGAGUAUUGAGGAAGGUUAAAAUCAUUAUUAUUAUUAUAUAAUAGAAUAAGGAUGAAGUGUGUGGAUUUGUAUGCUUGGGGGAGAAGGAGGGAAUUUGGG
Molecule: long non-coding RNA, 1382 nt
Filed under: Sinocyclocheilus grahami
Lineage: Eukaryota; Metazoa; Chordata; Actinopteri; Cypriniformes; Cyprinidae
Description: lncRNA (ENSSGRG00000026464.1)
Source: RNAcentral